CAUAAAUAAAGUACUCUUCUGAUGAUUGGAUCAGCUGAGAAUCCUUCUGCAUAUGCACCGAUAGCAGUUAAGAGGCUUGUGAAUUUCUCCCCAUUAUCCUCCGGUUUCUUGAAUAAAAGAUCUCUGGUGGUAAAUGGUACCAUAUAGAGUGGAAGAUCAGAUCGCAAGAUUGCCAGGUCCUUGCUCAAGAUAGCUUGUUCAGCAUUUGUUACCAACAUCUUCUUAAUACGUUCAUCUUCCACUUGAUCAACAUGUUGCAACAAAUUUUCUAACGUGCCAAAUCUAGUGAUAAGUUGCACAGCAUUGACAUUUCCAAUUCCAUCCACUCCUGGAAUAUUAUCGGAUUUGUCACCAACUAAAG
RNAcentral lists this unclassified non-coding RNA (361 nucleotides) under Hevea brasiliensis (rubber tree). The record is from RNAcentral. Lineage: Eukaryota; Viridiplantae; Streptophyta; Magnoliopsida; Malpighiales; Euphorbiaceae.